ACUACUGAAACACCAUUAAUUUAACAUUACAGAAGUUCAGUAUGGUAAUUGCACUCAUGUACUACUGAAAGUGAAACACCAUUAAAGGUACACAUUGCCCUAGCUGGUUCUGCCUAGAUGUUCAUUGUCAAUCAACAUUUGUACAUGUGUGACAUGCAUCUGAAAUGAUUCAGCUUAGCUACCGUACACAGAUUUCCCGAUCCAAAAGAGAGACGAAAAAUCGAUAGAGCACGACUGACCGAACUUGCUGCUCCCGGCUAAUCAACUAACUUCCGG
This 276-nucleotide long non-coding RNA is filed under the name Hordeum vulgare. Its description in RNAcentral is "long non-coding RNA (HVUL_LNC001608)". The record is from RNAcentral. Lineage: Eukaryota; Viridiplantae; Streptophyta; Magnoliopsida; Poales; Poaceae.